This 253-nucleotide ribosomal RNA is filed under the name uncultured bacterium. RNAcentral's name for it is "partial 16S ribosomal RNA". It matches the Rfam family "Bacterial small subunit ribosomal RNA", at positions 524 to 776 of the family's 1533-position model. The record is from RNAcentral.
UACGUAGGGUGCGAGCGUUAAUCGGAAUUACUGGGCGUAAAGCGUGCGCAGGCGGUUCGUUGUGUCGGCGGUGAAAGCCCCGGGCUUAACCUGGGAAUGGCCGUUGAAACUGGCGAACUGGAGUGUGGCAGAGGGGGGUGGAAUUCCGCGUGUAGCAGUGAGAUGCGUAGAGAUGCGGAGGAACACCGAUGGCGAAGGCAGCCCCCUGGGCUAACACUGACGCUCAGGCACGAAAGCGUGGGGAGCAAACAGG